RNAcentral lists this ribosomal RNA (253 nucleotides) under uncultured prokaryote. RNAcentral describes it as "partial 16S ribosomal RNA". It matches the Rfam family "Bacterial small subunit ribosomal RNA", at positions 525 to 777 of the family's 1533-position model. The record is from RNAcentral.
ACGAAGGGGUCUAGCGUUGUUCGGAAUUACUGGGCGUAAAGCGCGCGUAGGCGGAUCGCUAAGUCAGGGGUGAAAUCCCAGGGCUCAACCCUGGAACUGCCUUUGAUACUGACGAUCUGGAGAUCGGGAGAGGUUGGUGGAAUUCCGAGUGUAGAGGUGAAAUUCGUAGAUAUUCGGAGGAACACCAGAAGCGAAGGCGGCCAACUGGCCCGAUACUGACGCUGAGGCGCGAAAGCGUGGGGAGCAAACAGGA